This 23-nucleotide microRNA is filed under the name Limulus polyphemus (Atlantic horseshoe crab). RNAcentral's name for it is "Lpo-Mir-153-P10_5p* (star (passenger))". RNAcentral also lists the same sequence under 2 other names. Lineage: Eukaryota; Metazoa; Arthropoda; Merostomata; Xiphosura; Limulidae. The record is from RNAcentral.
UCAUUUUUGUGAUUGGUGCAAUU